RNAcentral lists this ribosomal RNA (373 nucleotides) under uncultured organism. RNAcentral's name for it is "bacterial SSU rRNA". It matches the Rfam family "Bacterial small subunit ribosomal RNA", at positions 526 to 896 of the family's 1533-position model. The record is from RNAcentral.
CGGAGGAUCCAAGCGUUAUCCGGAAUUACUGGGCGUAAAGAGUUGCGUAGGUGGCAUUGUAAGUAGAUAGUGAAAGCGUUCGGCUCAACCGAAUAAACAUUAUCUAAACUGCAAAGCUAGAGGGCGAGAGAGGUUACUAGAAUUCCUUGUGUAGGAGUGAAAUCCGUAGAUAUAAGGAGGAAUACCGAUGGCGUAGGCAGGUAACUGGCUCAUCCCUGACACUAAGGCACGAAAGCGUAGGUAGCAAACGGGAUUAGAUACCCCGGUAGUCUACGCCGUAAACGAUGGAUGCUAGCUGUGAGAAGUAUCGACCCUUCUCGUAGCGAAGCUAACGCGUUAAGCAUCCCGCCUGUGGAGUACGGUCGCAAGACUA